CCUUUUCAGGGAGACCUAACUUCAGCACAGUAGUAGACAAAUUAUUGUCUAUUAUAUAACUGCAAAAAAUCAGCUGAAGUCAUCCCAGGUCGAGCGAAGUCAUUCGAGACAAAGGCUUUCAAACUACGAUGGGGUUCGAAUAAUAACUAGGGAAAAAACUCRGCAACAGAUGAAAGUCGAACUGCUGGGUAAAAUCCAGCCAGAACCUUGAAAACUGCAUAGAGUCAAAAGUCAGGUAAGUCUGUAUUAACAGACAAGGUCAAGCUAGAAAGGGCUGACGGUGGAUACCUAGGCACACAGAG
RNAcentral lists this unclassified non-coding RNA (302 nucleotides) under Neolyngbya biscaynensis BLCC-M97. Its description in RNAcentral is "partial contains 16S-23S ribosomal RNA intergenic spacer and 23S ribosomal RNA". The record is from RNAcentral. Lineage: Bacteria; Bacillati; Cyanobacteriota; Cyanophyceae; Oscillatoriales; Sirenicapillariaceae.